CUGNCAUAAUAGUNGUAAGCGACCCGUCUUGAGACACGGACCAAGGAGUCUAACAUNUAAGCGAGUGUUCGGGUGUCAAACCCGUGCGCGCAGUGAAAGCGAACGGAGGUGGGAACCCCUAGGGGUGCUCCAUCGACCGAUCCUGAUGUCUUCGGAUGGAUUUGAGUAAGAGCGUAGCUGUUGGGACCCGAAAGAUGGUGAACUAUGCCUGAAUAGGGCGAAGCCAGAGGAAACUCUGGUGGAUGCUCGCAGCGGUUCUAACGUGCAAAUCGAUCGUCAAAUUUGGGUAUAGGGGCGAAAGACUAAU
This 307-nucleotide ribosomal RNA is filed under the name Penicillium sp. O1b_PD002. RNAcentral describes it as "eukaryotic LSU rRNA". It matches the Rfam family "Eukaryotic large subunit ribosomal RNA", at positions 626 to 935 of the family's 3401-position model. Lineage: Eukaryota; Fungi; Ascomycota; Eurotiomycetes; Eurotiales; Aspergillaceae. The record is from RNAcentral.